Molecule: transfer RNA, 78 nt
Filed under: bacterium
Lineage: Bacteria
Also listed under: 2 other names
Description: tRNA-Pro
Rfam family: tRNA
About the family: Transfer RNA (tRNA) molecules are approximately 80 nucleotides in length. Their secondary structure includes four short double-helical elements and three loops (D, anti-codon, and T loops).
Source: RNAcentral
CGGGGUGUAGCGCAGUCCGGUUAGCGCACUGGUUUUGGGAACCAGGUGUCGGAGGUUCGAAUCCUCUCACCCCGACCA